AGCAGCUAUCGCUGAAGCCAGAAUAGCAAGAGGGAUUGCUGCACAGUGAAAGCAGCAAUCCCUUUUGCUGUUCUGGCUUCUGUGAUAGCUGUG
Molecule: microRNA precursor, 93 nt
Filed under: Podarcis lilfordi (Lilford's wall lizard)
Lineage: Eukaryota; Metazoa; Chordata; Lepidosauria; Squamata; Lacertidae
Source: RNAcentral